This 568-nucleotide ribosomal RNA is filed under the name uncultured bacterium. RNAcentral describes it as "partial 16S ribosomal RNA". It matches the Rfam family "Bacterial small subunit ribosomal RNA", at positions 355 to 912 of the family's 1533-position model. The record is from RNAcentral.
UGGGGAAUAUUGCACAAUGGGCGCAAGCCUGAUGCAGCCAUGCCGCGUGUGUGAAGAAGGCCUUCGGGUUGUAAAGCACUUUCAGCGAGGAGGAAGGUGGUGAACUUAAUACGUUCAUCAAUUGACGUUACUCGCAGAAGAAGCACCGGCUAACUCCGUGCCAGCAGCCGCGGUAAUACGGAGGGUGCAAGCGUUAAUCGGAAUUACUGGGCGUAAAGCGCACGCAGGCGGUUUGUUAAGUCAGAUGUGAAAUCCCCGGGCUCAACCUGGGAACUGCAUUUGAAACUGGCAAGCUAGAGUCUCGUAGAGGGGGGUAGAAUUCCAGGUGUAGCGGUGAAAUGCGUAGAGAUCUGGAGGAAUACCGGUGGCGAAGGCGGCCCCCUGGACGAAGACUGACGCUCAGGUGCGAAAGCGUGGGGAGCAAAACAGGAUUAGAUACCCUGGUAGUCCACGCUGUAAAACGAUGUCGAUUUUGGAGGUUGUGCCCUUGAGGCGUGGCUUCCGGAGCUAACGCGUUAAAUCGACCGCCUGGGGAGUACGGCCGCAAGGUUAAAACUUAAAUGAAUUG